This is a long non-coding RNA of Zootermopsis nevadensis, 394 nucleotides long. RefSeq lists it as uncharacterized. The record is from RefSeq and is a predicted model, not a curated record. NCBI's taxonomy places the organism in Eukaryota, Metazoa, Arthropoda, Insecta, Blattodea, Termopsidae.
AACAGAGAAAAUGUCAUUUUCCACUUCAUCUUGUGUUUGUGUCAAAAAGUCACUGAGAGUUUGCAAUGAUGUUGGACGACUGUAUCUACACGCUGGGUCACUGAACGACGCUGUAUCAACUGCAGAGAUCCUCUAGUGACGGAUGAAACGAAAUCACGACGUGAAACAGGCAAUGGUGGAACGUACAGACACGAAGCCAUGCAAAGGUCGAAUGGUGCGACGAUUUGGAGGAGUCGCUCACCGACCAUCCCGAGGUGUCAUCUCCGUAUUCGCACAGCGGAAGUGGGGAAAACCACGGAAAAAUUCGUCAGGGUGCUUGAUGUCCGGGCUGACAGUUUGGAUCAGCGCAAAUUUGGACGAGCCCGCAAAACAGCGCCAACUAACUUCUAAACAG